This 223-nucleotide unclassified non-coding RNA is filed under the name Hevea brasiliensis (rubber tree). Lineage: Eukaryota; Viridiplantae; Streptophyta; Magnoliopsida; Malpighiales; Euphorbiaceae. The record is from RNAcentral.
GAAAAACUCUGGCAAUAGUAAUUAAGAGAAGUAAUUACAGUAGAAGCGAUUUAGGGAAAAUCAAUACUUUUACACUUGGAAGAUCAACAGUCAUGACAAUAUAAGUAGUAUGAAUCCAUUAAGCGAGCUGGAGCAACAAAUUAAUAUAUCCAACCAAGUAUCAAAAUAUUAACGUAUUUCAUAAAAUUUGGAAAUCCCACCUAGCAGUACUAAAAUGAAUUCA